UGUCAAGCUUCCAAGAAAAGCCCUAUACCCGUUAAGGCAUGACGGCCUGUACCCGAAACCGACACAGGUGGGGUGGUAGAGAAUACCGAGGGGCGCGAGAUAACUCUCUCUAAGGAACUCGGCAAAAUGGCCCCGUAACUUCGGGAGAAGGGGUGCCACCGCAAGGUGGUCGCAGUGAAGAGGCCCAGGCGACUGUUUACCAAAAACACAGGUCUCCGCUAAGUCGCAAGACGAUGUAUGGGGGCUGACGCCUGCCCAGUGCCGGAAGGUUAAGGAAGCUGGUCAGCGCAAGCGAAGCUGGCGACUGAAGCCCCGGUGAACAGCGGCCGUAACUAUAACGGUCCUAAGGUAGCGAAAUUCCUUGUCGGGUAAGUUCCGACCCGCACGAAAGGCGUAACGAUCUGGGCGCUGUCUCGGAGAGAGGCUCGGCGAAAUAGAAUUGUCUGUGAAGAUGCGGACUACGUGCACCCGGACAGAAAGACCCUAUGAAGCUUUACUGUAGCUUGGUAUUGUGCCCGGGCUCUGAAUGCGCAGGAUAGGUGGGAGGCUUUGAUCCAUUGCUUGCGGGUGAUGGUGAGCCAACGGUGAGAUACCACUCUUUCAGAGCUAGGGUUCUAACGGUCACCCGUUAUCCGGGGACCGGACAGUAUCAGGUGGGCAGUUUGACUGGGGCGGUCGCCUCCUAAAAGGUAACGGAGGCGCGCAAAGGUUCCCUCAGGCUGGUUGGAAAUCAGCCGACGAGUGUAAAGGCAGAAGGGAGCUUGACUGUGAGACCUACAAGUCGAGCAGGGACGAAAGUCGGCCUUAGUGAUCCGACGGUUCUGAGUGGAAGGGCCGUCGCUCAACGGAUAAAAGUUACUCUAGGAUAACAGGCUGAUCUCCCCCAAGAGUUCACAUCGACGGGGAGGUUUGGCACCUCGAUGUCGGCUCAUCGCAACCUGGGGCUGAAGUCGGUCCCAAGGGUUGGGCUGUUCGCCCAUUAAAGCGGUACGCGAGCUGGGUUCAGAACGUCGUGAGACGGUUCGGUCCAUAUCCGGUGCAUGCGCAGGAACAUUGAGAGGAUUUCUCCCUAGUACGAGAGGACCGGGAGGAACGCACCUCUGGUGUACCAGUUAUCGUGCCAACGGUAAACGCUGGGUAGCCAUGUGCGGAGCGGAUAACCGCUGAAAGCAUCUAAGUGGGAAGCCCACCUCAAGAUGAGUGUUCCCAUGGCAUAAGCCAGUAAGGUCACGGGAAGAACACCCGUUGAUAGGCUCUACGUGGAAGCGUGGCAACACGUGAAGCGGAGGAGUACUAAUAGACCGAGGGCUUGAC
RNAcentral lists this ribosomal RNA (1314 nucleotides) under metagenome. RNAcentral's name for it is "bacterial LSU rRNA". It matches the Rfam family "Bacterial large subunit ribosomal RNA", at positions 1598 to 2925 of the family's 2925-position model. The record is from RNAcentral.